UCAUCAGGUGGGAUCAUCCUUACCUGUUUCUCCUUUUGGAGGACAGAUUAGAACAGGGUGAUUGGAGUUUGUGUGACAUGUGAUUAUCGUCUCUGUGUAAUCAGCACUUGCAACACCCUGAUUGCUUCUAUCUGAU
Molecule: small nucleolar RNA, 136 nt
Filed under: Carlito syrichta (Philippine tarsier)
Lineage: Eukaryota; Metazoa; Chordata; Mammalia; Primates; Tarsiidae
Description: U8 small nucleolar RNA (ENSTSYG00000031640.1)
Rfam family: U8 small nucleolar RNA
About the family: U8 is a member of the C/D class of snoRNA which contain the C (UGAUGA) and D (CUGA) box motifs. U8 is the RNA component of a small complex (the U8 snoRNP) which is required for accumulation of mature large subunit ribosomal RNAs, 5.8S and 28S rRNAs. U8 RNA has been identified in human, mouse, rat and Xenopus.
Source: Rfam by way of RNAcentral